GCCGCGGUAGCUCAGCUGGGAGAGCACUCGGCUGAAGACCGAGGGGUCGCUGGUUCAACUCCGGCCCGCGGCA
This 73-nucleotide transfer RNA is filed under the name Microcaldota archaeon. Its description in RNAcentral is "tRNA-Phe". It matches the Rfam family "tRNA". From Rfam's summary of the family: Transfer RNA (tRNA) molecules are approximately 80 nucleotides in length. Their secondary structure includes four short double-helical elements and three loops (D, anti-codon, and T loops). The record is from RNAcentral. Lineage: Archaea; Nanobdellati; Microcaldota.